AUAAACCUGCUCUCCUAGGAGACCUGAAGGCUGCUUCCGCUAACCCAGGCUGGCGCUGCUAACCUCACCCAAGGAGCCCUGCUGUCGGAAAAUUUCCAGAGGCACCAUCCCUGCUAUGAAGAGGGAAUGCCAGUACAACAGCCACAAGGGGUCUUCCUGUGGCCCUCAAACAAAAAAUCACUGCAUUACAUCAGCAGAGACGGAUUCUCGCCCUGUCCCCCAGGCUGGAGUGCAGUGGCGCGAUCUCGGCUCACUGCACCUCCGCCUCCCGGAUUCCAGCAAUUCUCCUGCCUCAGCCUCCUGAGUAGCUGGGAUUACAGGCGCGCGCCACCACACCCGGCUAAUUUUUUGUAUUUUAGUAGAAACGGGGUUUCACCGUGUUGCCCAGGCGGGUCUCAAACUGCUGAGCUCAGGCAGUCCACCCGCCUCGGCCU
RNAcentral lists this long non-coding RNA (434 nucleotides) under Pongo abelii (Sumatran orangutan). RNAcentral describes it as "lincRNA". Lineage: Eukaryota; Metazoa; Chordata; Mammalia; Primates; Hominidae. The record is from RNAcentral.